RNAcentral lists this ribosomal RNA (484 nucleotides) under uncultured bacterium. RNAcentral describes it as "partial 16S ribosomal RNA". It matches the Rfam family "Bacterial small subunit ribosomal RNA", at positions 30 to 507 of the family's 1533-position model. The record is from RNAcentral.
AUUGAACGCUGGCGGCAGGCCUAACACAUGCAAGUCGAGCGGAUGAAGGGAGCUUGCUCCUGGAUUCAGCGGCGGACGGGUGAGUAAUGCCUAGGAAUCUGCCUGGUAGUGGGGGAUAACGUCCGGAAACGGGCGCUAAUACCGCAUACGUCCUGAGGGAGAAAGUGGGGGAUCUUCGGACCUCACGCUAUCAGAUGAGCCUAGGUCGGAUUAGCUAGUUGGUGGGGUAAAGGCCUACCAAGGCGACGAUCCGUAACUGGUCUGAGAGGAUGAUCAGUCACACGGGAACUGAGACACGGUCCAGACUCCUACGGGAGGCAGCAGUGGGGAAUAUUGGACAAUGGGCGAAAGCCUGAUCCAGCCAGGCCGCGUGUGUGAAGAAGGUCUUCGGAUUGUAAAGCACUUUUAGUUGGGAGGAAGGGCAGUAAGUUAAUACCUUGCUGUUUUGACGGUACCAACAGAAUAAGCACCGGCUAACUUCGUG